RNAcentral lists this ribosomal RNA (484 nucleotides) under uncultured bacterium. RNAcentral describes it as "partial 16S ribosomal RNA". It matches the Rfam family "Bacterial small subunit ribosomal RNA", at positions 29 to 507 of the family's 1533-position model. The record is from RNAcentral.
AGUGAACGCUGGCGGCAGGCCUAACACAUGCAAGUCGAGCGGCAGCGCGGGGGCAACCCUGGCGGCGAGCGGCGGACAGGUGAGGAAUUCGUCGGAAUCUGCCUUUUUGUGGGGGAUAACGUAGGGAAACUUACGCUAAUACCGCAUACGUCCUACGGGAGAAAGUGGGGGACCGCAAGGCCUCACGCAGAAAGAUGAGCCGACGACCGAUUAGCUAGUUGGUGGGGUAAAGGCCCACCAAGGCGACGAUCGGUAGCUGGUCUGAGAGGAUGAUCAGCCACACUGGGACUGAGACACGGCCCAGACUCCUACGGGAGGCAGCAGUGGGGAAUAUUGGACAAUGGGCGCAAGCCUGAUCCAGCCAUGCCGCGUGUGUGAAGAAGGCCUUCGGGUUGUAAAGCACUUUUGUCCGGAAAGAAAUCCCUGGAGCUAAUACCUUCGGGGGAUGACGGUACCGGAAGAAUAAGCACCGGCUAACUUCGUG